UGGGGAAUCUUGGACAAUGGGGGCAACCCUGAUCCAGCGACGCCGCGUGGGUGAUGAAGGCCUUCGGGUUGUAAAGCUCUUUCAGCUGUGAAGAUAAUGACGGUAGCAGCAGAAGAAACCCCGGCUAACUCCGUGCCAGCAGCCGCGGUAAUACGGAGGGGGUUAGCGUUGUUCGGAAUUACUGGGCGUAAAGCGCGCGUAGGCGGACUGUUAAGUCAGAGGUGAAAUCCCAGGGCUCAACCCUGGAACUGCCUUUGAUACUGGCAGUCUUGAGUUCGAGAGAGGUGAGUGGAAUUCCGAGUGUAGAGGUGAAAUUCGUAGAUAUUCGGAGGAACACCAGUGGCGAAGGCGGCUCACUGGCUCGAUACUGACGCUGAGGUGCGAAAGUGUGGGGAGCAAACAGGAUUAGAUACCCCGGUAGUCC
This 424-nucleotide ribosomal RNA is filed under the name uncultured prokaryote. RNAcentral's name for it is "bacterial SSU rRNA". It matches the Rfam family "Bacterial small subunit ribosomal RNA", at positions 355 to 796 of the family's 1533-position model. The record is from RNAcentral.